RNAcentral lists this ribosomal RNA (253 nucleotides) under uncultured bacterium. RNAcentral's name for it is "partial 16S ribosomal RNA". It matches the Rfam family "Bacterial small subunit ribosomal RNA", at positions 524 to 776 of the family's 1533-position model. The record is from RNAcentral.
UACGGGGGGGGCAAGCGUUGUUCGGAAUUACUGGGCGUAAAGGGCGCGUAGGCGGUCCGUUAAGUUAGAUGUGAAAACUCUGGGCUCAACCCAGAGCCUGCAUCUAAUACUGACGGGCUAGAGUUCUGGAGGGGGUAGCGGAAUUCCUGGUGUAGCGGUGAAAUGCGUAGAUAUCGGGAGGAACACCUGUGGCGAAGGCGGCUUUCUGGGCCUUACCUGACGCUGAGACGCGAAAGCGUGGGGAGCGAACCGG